CUGCUGUCUACAAAUCCUUAUCGAGCUCCCACAGUGUGCAAGACGCCGUUCUACGGAAACAAAUAUAAAUAAGAUGUGGUCCUCGACUUCACAGCCUGAUGGGAGAGACAGAUACACAGAAACAGCUAUAAUAACGCAGCGCAAGCACAGGACGGAGACGGUACAGGACGUUAUGAGAUCACAGAGGAGAGGUACCAGGCUCCGCUGAGGGGUGAGCUGAGAGCAAAACAGAAAGAGAGAGGCCAGCAGAGGGGCUUCAGGUGGUGGAGUUGCUGUUGUUAUGUGUAUGCGUAGGAGUGAGAGAGAACAAUUUGAAAGGAAGGAGCAGUGGAGAGGAGAGAUGGAUUUCCUAACCUCCUGAAUCCCAGUCACAGACUCCAGGUUGAGAACCUGCAUUCCACUCAGAUGAGACAGGUCAUUUGCUGAGAGGAAGAGGUCAGAGUCUGGAAGGUUUGGAAUACACACCAAGAGACAAGCAAGAGGAACUGAAACAGAGAUGAGCAGAAGCACUGUCUUUGUACCUGCUCCUGACUGCAGACCUGCUUGGAAGGCAGCAAGCAUAUGAUCCCAGAGGGUGAGGCAGAGCUGGAAAUGUCAGAGAUACCACGAGGAGGCACUAGAAUUCCACAUGGCUUCCCUCCGCCAAGAAAAGCCACAUCCAACGAAGUGUCUUGACCUGAGCUGGAGCCUCGUAACAGAUGCCUCACUGAGCCAAAAUGAGCAAGAAAGAGGAUUCGAAAAGAGGACUGUGGGGGAUAUUAAUGCAAGGAGACCACAGCGCUGCUAUGGCAAAGAGCGGAACGAUCACUUCAAAGGGACUCUGACACAGCCAAAUCCCCACUCCACCUCGGGACAGCAUCCCUCCCCUGCCCCCAGGAGCCACUUCCAAACAAUAGCAUAUUGUUCCCUCACCCCAGCUUUCUUCCUCCACUAAUGAAGCAGAAUACUCAGGCUCAUAAAAGAGGGAUUUCAUGCCACUGCCACAGUAUCUCCCCAUUGAAUCCUCUCUGCCUCAUUCAAUGAUAGAUUACAACCGCCAUAAACAUUAUUACCAUUUUCCCCUUUUCUUCCCAAGAUGUCACUGAAACUUUCAUCCCA
This 1098-nucleotide long non-coding RNA is filed under the name Equus caballus (horse). RNAcentral's name for it is "lncRNA (ENSECAG00000058315.1)". The record is from RNAcentral. Lineage: Eukaryota; Metazoa; Chordata; Mammalia; Perissodactyla; Equidae.